UACGUAGGGUGCAAGCGUUGUCCGGAAUUAUUGGGCGUAAAGAGCUCGUAGGCAGUCUGUCGCGUCGGCUGUGAAAACCCGGAGCUCAACUCCGGGCCUGCAGUCGAUACGGGCAGACUGGAGUUCGGCAGGGGAGACUGGAAUUCCUGGUGUAGCGGUGAAAUGCGCAGAUAUCAGGAGGAACACCAAAGGCGAAGGCAGUGUCCUGGGGAGUACCUGACGCUCAGGUGCGAAAGCCAGGGGAGCGAACGGG
Molecule: ribosomal RNA, 253 nt
Filed under: uncultured bacterium
Lineage: Bacteria
Description: partial 16S ribosomal RNA
Rfam family: Bacterial small subunit ribosomal RNA
Source: RNAcentral